AUUAUUAUCUCAAGAGAUAUUACAAUGAAUAUAUCAUCGUGAGACAUUCUGUAUAUCUUUUUUUACAAUGAAUCCGUUUGGGGUUUUCGCCUGUGAAACUCAAAACCAUAGACGUAUUAUAAUAUAUUUAAAUGAUUAAUCGUGUACAUUGACUGACUGACGUAUAGGUUAAGUAAAACGGUAAUUCGGUUAAGAGAGUGUGUUUUUGAAAAAAAAACUUUGUCAAACACGAACAUGCUUGUCGAACUACGAAUACUAUACCCAACGACUCCGUCUAAAAACACGAAAAAGUUUUGGUGUCAAUAAGUUUUUCGACGACGGUAGCACGGAGUGUAAAAACUAUGUAUAAAGUUCCUGUAUGCGAUCUUAUGGGAUUGGCCAAUUUGUAAAUAAUACCUAUGGCUUAUACGCCGCAAUAUUUCGCGUCCAAAUAAUAUAUGCAUUAUACAUCUAUUAUAAUCAAUACACUAUUCCGGGGGGAUCAGAUGUGUAUGUUAAACUUUUUAGUUAUACUAAUAAGAUGCGUGUUUUUUUUUCUCUCUGUAGACGAAUUUUCGAUCAGAAAUCGUGCUCAAAUCAUCGGCUUUAGGGAUGGAAUUAUUCUGUCUAGUCUGAUGACUAGAUCGGCGCAGAAUU
Non-coding RNA from Cinara cedri, 636 nucleotides. The record is from the annotation of a GenBank genome assembly. Lineage: Eukaryota; Metazoa; Arthropoda; Insecta; Hemiptera; Aphididae.